This 153-nucleotide long non-coding RNA is filed under the name Callithrix jacchus (white-tufted-ear marmoset). Its description in RNAcentral is "lncRNA (ENSCJAG00000074479.1)". The record is from RNAcentral. Lineage: Eukaryota; Metazoa; Chordata; Mammalia; Primates; Cebidae.
CAAUUUUAUUUAACUUUUCAAAAAUCCACCUUUUUGUUUCAUUUAUUUUUUUGUAUUUUUGUUGUUGUUUGUUUAGUUGGUUGUUUCAAUUUCAUUUAGUUCUCUUCCGAUCUUGCUUUUGUCUAUUACAGUACAGAAAACCCAACUAACCUU